RNAcentral lists this ribosomal RNA (330 nucleotides) under uncultured eukaryote. RNAcentral describes it as "partial 18S ribosomal RNA". It matches the Rfam family "Eukaryotic small subunit ribosomal RNA", at positions 1470 to 1796 of the family's 1831-position model. The record is from RNAcentral.
CCCUUAGAUGUUCUGGGCCGCACGCGCGCUACACUGACGCAUUCAACGAGUCUAAAACCUGGUCUGAUAGGGCUGGGUAAUCUUUUGAAUGCGCGUCGUGAUUGGGAUAAAUGAUUGUAAUUCUUCAUUUUCAACGAGGAAUGCCUAGUAAACGCAAGUCAUCAGCUUGCAUUGAUUACGUCCCUGCCCUUUGUACACACCGCCCGUCGCUCCUACCGAUUGAAUGAUCCGAUGAAUAUCAUGGACUGAGAGUGUUAGAGUUUUCGGACUUCUACACUUCUCGGGAAGUGAAGUGAAUCUUAUCAUUUAGAGGAAGGAGAAGUCGUAACA